GAUGAAGAACGCAGCGAAAUGCGACAAGUAGUGUGAAUUGCAGAAUUCAGUGAAUCAUCGAAUCUUUGAACGCACAUUGCGCCCCUUGGUAUCCCGAGGGGCAUGCCUGUUCGAGCGUCAUUUCACCACUCAAGCCUGGCUUGGUGUUGGGCGACGUCCUCUUUGGGGACGCGCCUCGAAACGCUCGGCGGCGUGGCACCGGCUUUAAGCGUAGCAGAAUCUUUCGCUUUGGAAGUCGGGGCCCCGUCUGCCGGAAGACCUGCUCGCAAGGUUGACCUCGGAUCAGGCAGGGAUACCCGCUGAACUUAAGCAUAUCAAUAAGCGGAGGA
RNAcentral lists this unclassified non-coding RNA (329 nucleotides) under soil metagenome. RNAcentral describes it as "partial contains 5.8S ribosomal RNA, internal transcribed spacer 2, and large subunit ribosomal RNA". The stretch from base 1 to 120 matches the Rfam family "5.8S ribosomal RNA", at positions 35 to 154 of the family's 154-position model. The record is from RNAcentral.